Carassius carassius (crucian carp) is the source of this 712-nucleotide long non-coding RNA. RefSeq lists it as uncharacterized. The record is from RefSeq and is a predicted model, not a curated record. The transcript has 3 exons. Lineage: Eukaryota; Metazoa; Chordata; Actinopteri; Cypriniformes; Cyprinidae.
GUCAUCGCUCAGGUCUGUGUUGAUCUGAUAGUCCUCCAGACGCUCCACCUGCCGGGGUAGUUUGGGGCUCCCACUGGGGGACACGCAGCAGGACACUGUAUUUCCCAUGAUGAUACACAAAGAGUUAUUAGUUUUUUUCCACCGAGUUUCGUCGGAGAGUCCCCUCGUUAUCCCCUCCUCCUCGCCGGCCAGUGCAGCAGCAGCAGCGAUCCACUCCCCACCACCACCGCCAUCUGCUCCGAGUGACGCAGAUUUGUACCUGCUCUACCAACUGGCGGCUGUCUGCGAGAUCAAUGUUUGGAUGAGAGAGAGCACCUGUGAAAGCAUUGAGGUCUGUUGUUGGCCGGUUGCUCACUGGUUAACGAUGUCGAGGGACAUUCACAGGUAAGAGAUCGCUGACAGAUGGUAAUGCAUAACUGCAGGAUGAAGCUGAAGGGAUAGCAUUUUCAGGAAGUGGCUGUGGUUCAGCAGGUGCAGGGUGGGAAAAAUGGGGGUGGGAGGUGAGGACCACAAAAAGCCAAAGGGAAAGACCUGGUGAAAACCUUACGUACUGACAUAUCAAGUUAGGACAAACACGGAUACAGACACACUUCAAGAUGCAGUAUAUCUCAUAACAAAUGAAUGGGAACCAUAUGGAUGAAUAUUUGAGUGUAUAUGCAGAAUAGCUGACUUUUGAUGCACUGUUGACCAAAAAAGGCAAUUUAUAUUGUGC